Molecule: ribosomal RNA, 629 nt
Filed under: Enterobacter sp. EECC-16
Lineage: Bacteria; Pseudomonadati; Pseudomonadota; Gammaproteobacteria; Enterobacterales; Enterobacteriaceae
Description: bacterial SSU rRNA
Rfam family: Bacterial small subunit ribosomal RNA
Source: RNAcentral
UCGGGUGACGAGUGGCGGACGGGUGAGUAAUGUCUGGGAAACUGCCUGAUGGAGGGGGAUAACUACUGGAAACGGUAGCUAAUACCGCAUAACGUCGCAAGACCAAAGAGGGGGACCUUCGGGCCUCUUGCCAUCAGAUGUGCCCAGAUGGGAUUAGCUGGUAGGCGGGGUAAUGGCCCACCUAGGCGACGAUCCCUAGCUGGUCUGAGAGGAUGACCAGCCACACUGGAACUGAGACACGGUCCAGACUCCUACGGGAGGCAGCAGUGGGGAAUAUUGCACAAUGGGCGCAAGCCUGAUGCAGCCAUGCCGCGUGUGUGAAGAAGGCCUUCGGGUUGUAAAGCACUUUCAGCGGGGAGGAAGGCGGUACGGUUAAUAACCGUGCUGAUUGACGUUACCCGCAGAAGAAGCACCGGCUAACUCCGUGCCAGCAGCCGCGGUAAUACGGAGGGUGCAAGCGUUAAUCGGAAUUACUGGGCGUAAAGCGCACGCAGGCGGUCUGUCAAGUCGGAUGUGAAAUCCCCGGGCUCAACCUGGGAACUGCAUUCGAAACUGGCAGGCUGGAGUCUCGUAGAGGGAGGUAGAAUUCCAGGUGUAGCGGUGAAAUGCGUAGAGAUCUGGAGGAAUAC